AAAAGUUUAGUUAAAAAAUAACAUAAAAUUGUCAAGUUUAAAUUAAUAUUUUAUUAACUUUUA
Molecule: transfer RNA, 63 nt
Filed under: Allonychiurus kimi
Lineage: Eukaryota; Metazoa; Arthropoda; Collembola; Poduromorpha; Onychiuridae
Description: tRNA-Asp
Source: RNAcentral